GAUGAACGCUGGCGGCGUGCCUAACACAUGCAAGUCGAACGCUCGCAAGAGAGUGGCGCACGGGUGAGUAACACGUAGCUAAUCUGCCCUCAAGACAAGGAUAACUGUAGGAAACUACUGCUAAUACUUGAUAAGCUUACGGACUGUAGAGGUCUAUAAGAAAGAUUUAUCGCUUGAGGAUGAGGCUGCGCGCCAUCAGCUAGUUGGUAAGGUAAUGGCUUACCAAGGCGACGACGGCUAGGGGACCUGAGAGGGUGACCCCCCACACUGGGACUGAGACACGGCCCAGACUCCUACGGGAGGCAGCAGUGAGGAAUAUUGCUCAAUGGGCGCAAGCCUGAAGCAGCGACGCCGCGUGGAUGAAGAAGGUUUUCGGACUGUAAAAUCCUUUUCUGUGUGACGAGAGUGGACGGUAGCACAGGAAUAAGUCUCGGCUAACUACGUGCCAGCAGCCGCGGUAAU
This 462-nucleotide ribosomal RNA is filed under the name uncultured bacterium. RNAcentral's name for it is "bacterial SSU rRNA". It matches the Rfam family "Bacterial small subunit ribosomal RNA", at positions 28 to 524 of the family's 1533-position model. The record is from RNAcentral.